GCUGUAGUAAAGUACAUAAAAUUAUGAAAAGCUCUUAAAGAUACCAACUGUGAUCCUAACUUGUUUUUUAAUGUCUCCAAAUUCACAUUUAUUUUAUAAAUCCAUUGACUCUUGCAAUGCUAAGUCAUUAAUAAGAUAACGAUUAGUAAUGGACAAUAUUUACCUGUUAGCUGCCUUAGUUUUAGCGAUCUGCUCCUCAUGAGUUUUGUACCAAUCCUCCAACUCCUUUUUGGCUAUUUUAAGCAUCUCCUCUUUCUUGUUUUCUUCCUCAGCAUCU
Helicoverpa zea (corn earworm) is the source of this 277-nucleotide long non-coding RNA. RefSeq lists it as uncharacterized. The record is from RefSeq and is a predicted model, not a curated record. Lineage: Eukaryota; Metazoa; Arthropoda; Insecta; Lepidoptera; Noctuidae. The transcript has 2 exons.